CCUACGGGUGGCAGCAGUGGGGAAUAUUGCACAAUGGGGGGAACCCUGAUGCAGCAACGCCGCGUGAAGGAAGACGGUUUUCGGAGUGUAAACUUCUAUCUAUAGGGAAGAAAGAAAUGACGGUACCUACAUAAGAAGCCCCGGCAAACUACGUGCCAGCAGCGGCGGGAAGACGUAGGGGGCAAGCGUUAUCCGGAAUUACUGGGUGUAAGGGGAGAGUAGGCGGCAAGGUAAGCGAUAUGUGAAAGCCUUAGGCUUAACCUGAGGAUUGCAUAACGAACUAUCUAGCUAGAGUACAGGAGAGGAAAGCGGAAUGCGUGGUGUAGCGGUGAAAUGCGUAGAUAUUAGGAAGAACACCAAUGGCGAAGGCAGCUUUCUGGACUGAGACUGACGCUGAGGCUCGAAAGCGUGGGGAGCGAACAGGAUUAGAUACCCUUGUAGUC
Molecule: ribosomal RNA, 443 nt
Filed under: uncultured bacterium
Lineage: Bacteria
Description: partial 16S ribosomal RNA
Rfam family: Bacterial small subunit ribosomal RNA
Source: RNAcentral